GAGUUUGAUCAUGGCUCAGAUUGAACGCUGGCGGCAUGCCUUACACAUGCAAGUCGAGCGGCAGCGCGGGGGCAACCCUGGCGGCGAGCGGCGAACGGGUGAGUAAUGCAUCGGAACGUGUCCUCUUGUGGGGGAUAACCAGUCGAAAGACUGGCUAAUACCGCAUGAGAUCGAGAGAUGAAAGCAGGGGACCGCAAGGCCUUGCGCGAGAGGAGCGGCCGAUGCCGGAUUAGCUAGUUGGUGGGGUAAAAGCCUACCAAGGCGACGAUCCGUAGCUGGUCUGAGAGGACGACCAGCCACACUGGGACUGAGACACGGCCCAGACUCCUACGGGAGGCAGCAGUGGGGAAUUUUGGACAAUGGGGGAAACCCUGAUCCAGCCAUGCCGCGUGUGUGAAGAAGG
RNAcentral lists this ribosomal RNA (403 nucleotides) under uncultured beta proteobacterium. Its description in RNAcentral is "bacterial SSU rRNA". It matches the Rfam family "Bacterial small subunit ribosomal RNA", at positions 9 to 414 of the family's 1533-position model. Lineage: Bacteria; Pseudomonadati; Pseudomonadota; Betaproteobacteria. The record is from RNAcentral.